UACGUAGGGUGCAAGCGUUAAUCGGAAUUACUGGGCGUAAAGCGUGCGCAGGCGGUGAUGUAAGACAGUUGUGAAAUCCCCGGGCUCAACCUGGGAACUGCAUCUGUGACUGCAUCGCUGGAGUGCGGCAGAGGGGGAUGGAAUUCCGCGUGUAGCAGUGAAAUGCGUAGAUAUGCGGAGGAACACCGAUGGCGAAGGCAAUCCCCUGGGCCUGCACUGACGCUCAUGCAAGAAAGCGUGGGGAGCAAACAGGAUUAGAAAACCCCGUAGUCC
RNAcentral lists this ribosomal RNA (273 nucleotides) under uncultured bacterium. Its description in RNAcentral is "partial 16S ribosomal RNA". It matches the Rfam family "Bacterial small subunit ribosomal RNA", at positions 524 to 796 of the family's 1533-position model. The record is from RNAcentral.